GACGAACGCUGGCGGCGUGCUUAACACAUGCAAGUCGAACGGUGAAGCCUAGCUUGCAGGGUGGAUUAGUGGCGAACGGGUGAGUAAUACGUGAGUAAUCUACCCUUAACUCUGGGAUAAGCCCGGGAAACUGGGUCUAAUACCGGAUAGGACCAAUCUCCGCAGGGGGGGUUGGUGGAAAGUGUUGUGUUGUGGUGAUGGAUGGGCCCAUGGCCUAUCAGGUGGUGGUGGGGGGAACGGCUCCCCAAGGGGACGACGGGGAGCCGGCCGGGGGGGGUGACCGGCCACACUGGGCCUGGGACACGGCCCAGACUCCUCCGGGGGGCAGCAGUGGGGAAUAUUGCACAAUGGGGCCAGCCCUGAUGCAGCGACGCCGCGUGAGGGAUGACGGCCUUCGGGUUGUAACCCUCUUUUAGCAGGGAAGAAGAGAUUUUGACGGUACCUGCAGAGAAAGCGCCGGCUAACUACGUG
RNAcentral lists this ribosomal RNA (471 nucleotides) under uncultured bacterium. Its description in RNAcentral is "partial 16S ribosomal RNA". It matches the Rfam family "Bacterial small subunit ribosomal RNA", at positions 28 to 507 of the family's 1533-position model. The record is from RNAcentral.